This 888-nucleotide long non-coding RNA is filed under the name Gallus gallus (chicken). RNAcentral's name for it is "long non-coding RNA NONGGAT003827". Lineage: Eukaryota; Metazoa; Chordata; Aves; Galliformes; Phasianidae. The record is from RNAcentral.
AAGAUCACCAAGAGGCAAAAGAGCAUUCUAAAUUCCAUGGUUACCUGGAAAGCUUACGGCACAGUCCAUGUAAACAUCUGCUUAAGAACUGCUUAUCAUCAACUUCACCAAUGAUUUGUUACUAAACUAUGAAACACAUCCUUCUACAUAUUGCUGAAAUUUUUUCACAGUCUUCACAGACCAUAACAGCAAGGCUUGGAAACAAUAGCAAGAACCAGCAGUGGAGAAUAACAAGCCAGAAACUACUUUGAGAAACUGGACACACUGAAACGCAUAGAGCAAAUAGGGUUCACCCACGAGCAUCAAAAACUGACUGAAUGUGACACUGACACCACUGUCUGUGAUCCAUAAAACUGGAAAAGAACAAUAGGAAAGAAAUGCUGAUUUGAGGCAGGGACCCACAGGUUAGGCUCAUCCCAGUGCAGUCACAGGAAAAGUCACGAAGCCUUCUUCAACACUGCCCAAAAACACAUGAAGGACAGCAAGGCAGUAACAAGAACAUCCAAAAUGGAGUUAUGACAGGAAUGUUCCUAUGACAGAAAGUCCAGCUAUAAGCAUAAGCGGAAAGCAGUGCAAUAUAACUUGACUUCAGGAAGCCUCUUCUUACUGACUUUCACUCUGUUCUCAUUAACGAGAUGAGGACUGAAUAAACAGACUCCUAGACAGUGUGAAAAGAGUAGACUGCAGGGCACAAAAACUGGUUAACUGUAAUCUGACUUGUAACUGGUGUUCAGCAACAAGCACAGUAUGCCAGGGGUCAGUAUUGCGGCUCACACUGCUAAUACUGCACUGCAGUUGAAGACAACGCUAAAUUAGGAAGGGUGCUUAACAUACCGAAUGGCAUUUUCAACCCAAGAGGCGCAUUAAGAUACUUAAGGAUCAUUCUGU